RNAcentral lists this ribosomal RNA (945 nucleotides) under uncultured bacterium. RNAcentral's name for it is "bacterial SSU rRNA". It matches the Rfam family "Bacterial small subunit ribosomal RNA", at positions 39 to 998 of the family's 1533-position model. The record is from RNAcentral.
GCGGCNNGCUUACCAUGCAGUCGAACGAGAACGGGUUAUAGCUUGCUAUAAUUGUCAGCUAAGUGGCGCACGGGUGAGUAAUGUAUAGGUAAUAUGCCUCUUACUAAGGGAUAACAAAUGGAAACGUUUGCUAAUACCUUAUACUCCUUAUUAACUAAAGUUGGUAAGGGAAAGAUUUAUUGGUAAGAGAUUGGCCUGUAUUGUAUCAGUUAGUUGGUGGGGUAAUGGCCUACCAAGACUAUGACGCAUAACUGGUUUGAGAGGAUGAUCAGUCACACUGGAACUGAGACACGGUCCAGACUCCUACGGGAGGCAGCAGUGGGGAAUAUUGCACAAUGGACGAAAGUCUGAUGCAGCAACGCCGCGUGGAGGAUGACACAUUUCGGUGCGUAAACUCCUUUUAUAUAAGAAGAUAAUGACGGUAUUAUAUGAAUAAGCACCGGCUAACUCCGUGCCAGCAGCCGCGGUAAUACGGGGGGUGCAAGCGUUACUCGGAAUCACUGGGCGUAAAGAGCAUGUAGGCGGAUUGAUAAGUUUGAAGUGAAAUCCUAUAGCUUAACUAUAGAACUGCUUUGAAAACUGUUAAUCUAGAAUGUGGGAGAGGUAGAUGGAAUUUCUGGUGUAGGGGUAAAAUCCGUAGAGAUCAGAAGGAAUACCGAUUGCGAAGGCGAUCUACUGGAACAUUAUUGACGCUGAGAUGCGAAAGCGUGGGGAGCAAACAGGAUUAGAUACCCUGGUAGUCCACGCCCUAAACGAUGUACACUAGUUGUUGUGAGGCUAGACCUUGCAGUAAUGCAGUUAACACAUUAAGUGUACCGCCUGGGGAGUACGGUCGCAAGAUUAAAACUCAAAGGAAUAGACGGGGACCCGCACAAGCGGUGGAGCAUGUGGUUUAAUUCGACGAUACACGAAGAACCUUACCUGGACUUGACAUAGUAAGACUUU